This 2641-nucleotide long non-coding RNA is filed under the name Pongo abelii (Sumatran orangutan). RNAcentral's name for it is "lincRNA". Lineage: Eukaryota; Metazoa; Chordata; Mammalia; Primates; Hominidae. The record is from RNAcentral.
GAAUGCGGUGGAAGUGAUGAUAUACCAGUUACAGACACACUUUUUAAGAGGAUUGCAGCAUCCAGGUCCCCCUCUAGGGUUUCUCAUUCUUGGAACAAUUCUUGGAACUCAGCCAUCAUACUGUGAGAAACCCAAGCCAUACGUAUAGGACACAUGUUGAUGAUCCAAUUGACAGUCUCAAGCGAACUCUUUGCCAAUAACCAGCAUCAAAUGCUGCCUCGUAAAUGGGAAAUCUUGGCUGUCCCAGCACAACUGAGCCCAUAGAUGAUGCAGCCAAAUCCAAUUUAUAUGAAAAAAGCAACCCCAUUUAGUCCAGUCAACACUAAAAAUAGUGUGAAAUAAUGAAAUAGUUAAGCCAGUAACUUUUGGAGUGGUUUGUUAUGAAAUCAUAGAUAAUUAAAAUAGGAGUCAGCUGUGUAUAGAGGUUAAUGAAGCCACGAGAUGGUUAAGACAAUAAAUAUGUGACACGAAAGAAAAAAGGCUAUCUUAGUCUGUUUUCUGUUACCUGAAUUCCAUAAACUGAGUAAUUUAUAAAGAAAAUAAAUGUAUUCAUUUCUUACAGUUCUAGAGGCUGAUAAGUCCAAGCAUAUGGUGCCAGCAUCUGGUGAGGCCUUCUUUCUGUGUAAUCUCAUGGCAGAAGAGUGGAAGGACAAGUGAGCACAUGCAAAAGGGAAUGUACAAGACUUAUCUUUUAGUUUCCAGAGGCAGAAAAAAGGCAGAAAAGGUUGUUGAGAUUCUUCACAUUGAUUUCAGGGCAAUGAUCUCAAAUGGCGCAGGGGGAACCAGCAAAUUUAAGAGGGUAGUUUCCCUGCACAAGCCCUUUUUUUGCCUGCUGCCAUCCAUGUAAGAUGUGACUUGCUCCUCCUUGUCUUCUACCAUGAUUGUGAGGCCUCCCCAGUCAUGUGGAACUCAAAGCUAGAGGAAACCAAGGUCAUAGAACAUCUGAACUCUGUCCAAACAUCGGUUGUAUUUCAAAAUUUCAGUAGCCACCAUCCCACAGCCAACGAUAAUAUCUGACACUUCCUGACAUCAUGAAAGCCACCAUCUGUCUAUCACCAAAACCCUGUACUUUUUAAAGACUACUUGGCUUGAUCCUUAAUGAAGCUUCGAGUUGAAUGCACAGAUCACUUUAGAAGGAAUACAGGGAAUAAUUGACACAAGAGAUCUCCUGGAAAAAGCCCUAUACCUAAUAUUCUUGUUUGGCGGAAGAAACUAGGAAAAACAUCUGUCAUCUCCUCACUAGACCGAGUCUUGCUCUGUAGCCCAGGCUGGAGUGCAGUGGUGCAAUCUCCACUCACUGCAAGCUCCGCCUCCCGGGUUCACGCCAUUUUCCUGCCUCAGCCUCCCGAGUAGCUGGGACUACAGGAGCCCGCCACCACGCCCGGCUAAUUUUUUGUAUUUUUAGUAGAGACGGUGUUUCACCAUGUUAGCCAGGAUGGUCUUGAUCUCCUGACCUCGUGAUCUGCCCGCCUCGGCCUCCCAAAGUGCUGGGAUUACAGGCGUGAGCCACCGCGCCAGGCCACAGUCUUUCAUUUUUAUAAUAAAUCAUUCAUGUGUAAUUGGUUUUAUUCUGAUCAUGAUGCUGAAACUAAAUGUUUUGGUCUUGGGUGAUAAUGGAAGCUUAAAGGUAAUAUCAACCACAAAGACAGUUUUUAAAUGUUUGGCCUGAAUAUUAUCAGCUUAAAAUUUGCACUAUUCUAUACCUGUUUCCCUUACAAAUCAAUUACUAGUAUAUUACAUUUCAUUGGGUAUGAAUAAUAAAUAUUUUCAUUAAAUUACUUUAAGAGAUCAUCAAUUAAUAUACAUUUCCUAAUAAUUAUUAACAUAAACACUUUUUAAGAUGUAUUUUAAUGCAAACUAAAGACCUUUAGAUACAUUCUGAGUCACAGAAUAAUAUCAAGAAGCAUUAUAAUUUUAUGUCAAUCCCCAGAAAUCGUAUAGCCUUAAAGAUGACUUUUUAAAUUUGUGAUUUUUUUUCUUUUAGUUCUGCAGGAUUAUUUUUUGUUCUUAUUGUUGUUAAUAAGGAAUAACAUCUCUUUUCAUAAUUAUAGCAACAAAGUUUAGUUAAACAAAUUCAUCAGAUUUUAAUAAAUGAUAGCAUUCUAACUCUCAAAACAGUUAUACCUAAAUAUAUUUGGUACAUGUUGUAAAACUAUAUUUAUUGUCUCAAGAGAAAAUGAAAUCUGGUUAUUAAGAUAUAUCAAGACUCUCCACUUUUUAAAUUAAGAAUAAAUUAUUGCCGGUGGAAUUUCCAAAACUAAUACUUCACCCAUCAACCUAAUUAGUAAUUAAAUAUAUCAAUAGCAUUGAAAAGAAGAGUGGCAUAUUAGUUAAGAUGCAUGAACUAUAUAAAGGUACAAUUCUCUUUUUAAAUGCACAUAUCCCAACAAAAUUUCUUUCACAAUAUGGCUAUAAAAUCAUAUGGUGAUUAACAACUGUAAAACUAGACAAAAUUUUUUCAUUGUUUUCAGAAUAUAUUACUCCUUUUGGUAAACUGCUGUGGAAAAAAAAGUGCAGCUGUCACAUACACAAAGUUAUCUCCCAUUGGCUAUGAGAAUUAUCUAAAUGUUACUAGCUUUCAUUUGCUCUUGUCAUUUGCAAAUGUGCCAAAUCGACUAGCCUUUCUAUUAAAAUAAAGACU